This 520-nucleotide ribosomal RNA is filed under the name uncultured Glomus. Its description in RNAcentral is "SSU rRNA". It matches the Rfam family "Eukaryotic small subunit ribosomal RNA", at positions 569 to 1093 of the family's 1831-position model. The record is from RNAcentral. Lineage: Eukaryota; Fungi; Glomeromycota; Glomeromycetes; Glomerales; Glomeraceae.
AGCAGCCGCGGUAAUUCCAGCUCCAAUAGCGUAUAUUAAAGUUGUUGCAGUUAAAAGCUCGUAGUUGAAUUUCGGGAUCAAUUGAUUGGUCAUGCCUUGGUAUGAACUGGUCAUAUUGGUUCUCACCUUCUAAUGAACCAUAAUGUCAUUCACUUGAUGUUAUGGGGAAUUAGGACUGUUACCUUGAAAAAUUAGAGUGUUUAAAGCAGGCUUACGCUUGAAUACAUUAGCAUGGAAUAAUGAAAUAGGACAUCGCAUUCUAUUUUGUUGGUUUCUAGGAUCGAUGUAAUGAUUAAUAGGGAUAGUUGGGGGCAUUAGUAUUCAAUUGUCAGAGGUGAAAUUCUUGGAUUUAUUGAAGACUAACUACUGCGAAAGCAUUUGCCAAGGAUGUUUUCAUUAAUCAAGAACGAAGUUAGGGGAUCGAAGACGAUCAGAUACCGUCGUAGUCUUAACCAUAAAACUAUGCCGACUAGGGAUCGGAUGAUGUUAAUUUUUUAAUGACUCAUUCGGCGCCUUAUCG